GAUCAUUACAAGUUGACCCCGGCCCUCGGGCCGGGAUGUUCACAACCCUUUGUUGUCCGACUCUGUUGCCUCCGGGGCGACCCUGCCUCCGGGCGGGGGCCCCGGGUGGACAUUUCAAACUCUUGCGUAACUUUGCAGUCUGAGUAAAUUUAAUUAAUAAAUUAAAACUUUCAACAACGGAUCUCUUGGUUCUGGCAUCGAUGAAGAACGCAGCGAAAUGCGAUAAGUAAUGUGAAUUGCAGAAUUCAGUGAAUCAUCGAAUCUUUGAACGCACAUUGCGCCCCCUGGUAUUCCGGGGGGCAUGCCUGUUCGAGCGUCAUUUCGCCGCUCAAGCCUCGCUUGGUAUUGGGCGACGCGGUCCGCCGCGCGCCUCAAAUCGACCGGCUGGGUCUUUCGUCCCCUCAGCGUUGUGGAAACUAUUCGCUAAAGGGUGCCGCGGGAGGCCACGCCGUAAAACAACCCCAUUUCUAAGGUUGACCUCGGAUCAGGUAGGGAUACCCGCUGAACUUAAGCAUAUCAAUAAGCGGAGGAAAGGGCGAAUU
RNAcentral lists this ribosomal RNA (542 nucleotides) under uncultured fungus. RNAcentral's name for it is "eukaryotic LSU rRNA". The stretch from base 166 to 319 matches the Rfam family "5.8S ribosomal RNA". The record is from RNAcentral. Lineage: Eukaryota; Fungi.